This 443-nucleotide ribosomal RNA is filed under the name uncultured bacterium. Its description in RNAcentral is "partial 16S ribosomal RNA". It matches the Rfam family "Bacterial small subunit ribosomal RNA", at positions 338 to 795 of the family's 1533-position model. The record is from RNAcentral.
CCUACGGGUGGCAGCAGUGGGGAAUAUUGGUCAAUGGGCGCAAGCCUGACCCAGCAACGCAGCGUGAAGGAAGAAGGCUUUCGGGUUGUAAACUUCUUUUCUCAGAGACGUAGAAAGUGACGGUACCUGAGGAAUAAGCCACCGCUAACUACGUGCCAGCAGCCGCGGUAAUACGUAGGUGGCAAGCGUUAUCCGGAUUUACUGGGUGUAAGGGGCGUGUAGGCGGGAAAGCAAGUCAGAUGUGAAAACCAUGGGCUCAACCUGUGGCUUGCAAUUGAAACUGGUUUCCUUGAGUACUGGUGAGGCAGACGGAAUUCCUAGUGUAGCGGUGAAAUGCUUAGAUAUUAGGAGGAACACCAGUGGCGAAGGCGGUCUGCUAGACAGCAACUGACGCUGAUGCGCGAAAGUGUGGGGAGCAAACAGGAUUAGAUACCCCGGUAGUC